GAAAGUAAGAAAGGGCGCAUGGCGGAUGCCUUGGCUCACGGAGGCGAUGAAGGACGUGAUAAGCUGCGAUAAGCCGCGGUUAGGCGCAAAUAGCCCUUGACCCGCGGAUUUCCGAAUGGGACAACCCACCGCUUCGGCGGUAUCCCUACUAAGUAGGGAGGCUAACGGGGGGAACUGAAACAUCUUAGUACCCCCAGGAAGAGAAAACAACAGUGAUUCCCCUAGUAGUGGCGAGCGAACGGGGAACAGCCCAAACCGUCGCUGUCGCAAGGCAGCGCCGGGGUAGUAGGACCACGACCUUGUAUCAUGAUCGCGAGCAGAAGGUCCCUGGAAAGGACCGCCGCAGACGGUGAGAGCCCGGUAUGCGAAGCGUGAUUGGGCAUAGUGGUAUCCUGAGUAGCGCGGGACACGAGGAAUCCUGCGUGAAUCCGCCGGGACCAUCCGGUAAGGCUAAAUACUCCCGUGAGACCGAUAGUGAACGAGUACCGUGAGGGAAAGGUGAAAAGCACCCCUAGCAGGGGAGUGAAAUAGUCCCUGAAACCAUGCGCCUACAAGCGGUCGGAGCUGCUUUUGCAGUGACGGCGUGCCUUUUGCAUAAUGAGCCUACGAGUUGCCAUGUCCGGCAAGGCUAAGGGCGAGUACGCCCGCAGCCGCAGUGAAAGCGAGCCUGAACAGGGCGCCGAGUCGGAUGGGGCAGACGCGAAACCAAGUGAUCUACGCAUGGCCAGGCUGAAGUCCCGGUAACACGGGAUGGAGGGCCGCACGGAUAAGCGUUGAAAAGCUUCCCGAUGAGCUGUGCGUAGGAGUGAAAGGCCAAUCAAACUUGGAGAUAGCUCGUACUCCCCGAAAGGCAUUUAGGUGCCGCGUCGGAUGUUCACCGCGAGAGGUAGAGCGACCGAUAGGACGAGAGGGCUUCACCGCCUAUCGAGUCCUGACGAACUCCGAAUGCUCGCGGUCCGCAGUCCGGCAGUAAGGGGGCGGGUGCUAAGGUCCGUCCCCGAGAGGAGAAGAAUCCUGACCGUCGUCUAAGGUCCCGAAAUUCUGUCUAAGUUAGUCUAACGAGGUCUGGUCUCAGUGACAGCUAGGAUGUUGGCUUGGAAGCAGCCAUUCAUUCAAAGAGUGCGUAACAGCUCACUAGUCGAGGAGCUGGGCGUGGAUAAUAAUCGGGUAUAAAACCAGUUACCGAAGCCGUGGGAUGCUCAAGCAUCGGUAGGGGAGCAUUGCAUGCGGCUUGGAAGGCGGGGCGCGAGCCCCUCUGGAGCGCAUGGAAACGCAAAUGUAGGUAUAAGUAACGACAAGGGGGGUGGGAUGCCCCCCCGCCGAAAGACCAAGGUUUCCUGAACAACGCUAAUCGGUUCAGGGUCAGUCGGGUCCUAAGCAUAAGCCGUAUGGCGAGGGCGAUGGAUGAAACGGUUAAUAUUCCGUUACUGUCUUGGUGUGUGACGCGGCGACGGAGUAGUGACACGGCCGCCUCCUGACGGAAAAGGGGGUUGAAGCGCAAAGGUGUCGAGGAAGGCAGGCAAAUCCACCUUCCGAGCCGAAGCGCGAUAGUACGCCGGGCCCUUUGGGGCAAGGCGAUAGUGCCGGUAAUCAGACUUCCAAGAAAACCCGCUAAACUUCAGCACCAAGUCACCCGUACUCCAAACGGACACACGUGGUCGGGUAGAAUAUACUAAGGCGCUUGGGAGAUUCACGGUUAAGGAACUAGGCAAAUUGACCCCGUACCUUCGGAAUAAGGGGUCCUCGCUUUUGCGAGGCGCAGAGAAUAGGUCCAGGCAACUGUUUAACAAAAACACAGGGCUGUGCGAACUCGAAAGAUGAAGUAUACAGCCUGACACCUGCCCGGUGCCGGAAGGUUAAGAGGAGAUGUCAACCGUAAGGCGAAGCAUUGAAUUGAAGCCCCGGUAAACGGCGGCCGUAACUAUAACGGUCCUAAGGUAGCGAAAUUCCUUGUCGGGU
This 1959-nucleotide ribosomal RNA is filed under the name human gut metagenome. Its description in RNAcentral is "bacterial LSU rRNA". It matches the Rfam family "Bacterial large subunit ribosomal RNA", at positions 1 to 1977 of the family's 2925-position model. The record is from RNAcentral.